This 274-nucleotide ribosomal RNA is filed under the name uncultured bacterium. Its description in RNAcentral is "partial 16S ribosomal RNA". It matches the Rfam family "Bacterial small subunit ribosomal RNA", at positions 523 to 796 of the family's 1533-position model. The record is from RNAcentral.
AUACGAAGGGGGCAAGCGUUGUUCGGAAUAACUGGGCGUAAAGCGCACGUAGGCGGAAUGUUAAGUUAGAGGUGAAAUCCCAGGGCUCAACCCUGGAACGGCCUUUAAUACUGGCAAUCUAGAGACCGAGAGAGGUGAGUGGAAUUCCGAGUGUAGAGGUGAAAUUCGUAGAUAUUCGGAGGAACACCAGUGGCGAAGGCGGCUCACUGGCUCGGUACUGACGCUGAGGUGCGAAAGCGUGGGGAGCAAACAGGAUUAGAUACCCUAGUAGUCC